RNAcentral lists this ribosomal RNA (254 nucleotides) under uncultured bacterium. RNAcentral describes it as "partial 16S ribosomal RNA". It matches the Rfam family "Bacterial small subunit ribosomal RNA", at positions 524 to 776 of the family's 1533-position model. The record is from RNAcentral.
UACGUAGGGGGCGAGCGUUGUCCGGAUUUAUUGGGCGUAAAGAGCUCGUAGGCGGCUCAGUGAGUCGGGUGUGAAAUCUCCAGGCUUAACCUGGAGAGGCCAUUCGAUACUGCUGUGGCUAGAGUCCGGUAGAGGAGCAUGGAAUUCCCGGUGUAGCGGUGAAAUGCGCAGUUAUCGGGAGGAACACCAGUAGCGAAGGCGGUGCUCUGGGCCGGUACUGACGCUGAGGAGCGAAAGCGUGGGGAGCGAACAGG